Molecule: ribosomal RNA, 715 nt
Filed under: uncultured bacterium
Lineage: Bacteria
Description: bacterial SSU rRNA
Rfam family: Bacterial small subunit ribosomal RNA
Source: RNAcentral
AUUAGAUACCCUGGUAGUCCACGCAGUAAACGAUGAAUGCUUGCUGUCCGGGGGGAUUGACCCCUGGGGGGCGCAGCGAAAGCGAUAAGCAUUCCACCUGGGGAGUACGCCGGCAACGGUGAAACUCAAAGGAAUUGACGGGGGCCCGCACAAGCGGAGGAACAUGUGGUUUAAUUCGAUGAUACGCGAGGAACCUUACCCGGGCUCAAACGGGAGAUGACUCGGCCAGAGACGGCCGUUUCCGCAAGGACAUCUUCCGAGGUGCUGCAUGGUUGUCGUCAGCUCGUGCCGUGAGGUGUCGGCUUAAGUGCCAUAACGAGCGCAACCCCCGCGGGCAGUUGCUAACAGGUCAAGCUGAGGACUCUGCCCGGACUGCCGGCGCAAGCCGUGAGGAAGGCGGGGAUGACGUCAAAUCAGCACGGCCCUUACGUCCGGGGCGACACACGUGUUACAAUGGUCGGUACAGCGGGAAGCCAGGCGGCGACGCCGAGCGGAACCCGAAAGCCGGUCUCAGUUCGGAUCGGAGUCUGCAACCCGACUCCGUGAAGCUGGAUUCGCUAGUAAUCGCGCAUCAGCCAUGGCGCGGUGAAUACGUUCCCGGGCCUUGUACACACCGCCCGUCAAGCCAUGGGAGCCGAGGGCGCUUGAAGUGCGUCGCCGUGAGGCGCGCCCUAGAGCGAAAUCGGUGACUGGGGCUAAGUCGUAACAAGGUAAC